This 484-nucleotide ribosomal RNA is filed under the name uncultured bacterium. Its description in RNAcentral is "partial 16S ribosomal RNA". It matches the Rfam family "Bacterial small subunit ribosomal RNA", at positions 29 to 507 of the family's 1533-position model. The record is from RNAcentral.
AGUGAACGCUGGCGGCAGGCCUAACACAUGCAAGUCGAGCGGCAGCGCGGGGGCAACCCUGGCGGUGAGCGGCGGACGGGUGAGGAAUUCGUCGGAAUCUGCCUUUUUGUGGGGGAUAACGUAGGGAAACUUACGCUAAUACCGCAUACGUCCUACGGGAGAAAGUGGGGGACCGCAAGGCCUCACGCAGAAAGAUGAGCCGACGACCGAUUAGCUAGUUGGUGGGGUAAAGGCCCACCAAGGCGACGAUCGGUAGCUGGUCUGAGAGGAUGAUCAGCCACACUGGGACUGAGACACGGCCCAGACUCCUACGGGAGGCAGCAGUGGGGAAUAUUGGACAAUGGGCGCAAGCCUGAUCCAGCCAUGCCGCGUGUGUGAAGAAGGCCUUCGGGUUGUAAAGCACUUUUGUCCGGAAAGAAAUCCCUGGAGCUAAUACCUUCGGGGGAUGACGGUACCGGAAGAAUAAGCACCGGCUAACUUCGUG